RNAcentral lists this ribosomal RNA (459 nucleotides) under uncultured bacterium. RNAcentral's name for it is "partial 16S ribosomal RNA". It matches the Rfam family "Bacterial small subunit ribosomal RNA", at positions 338 to 795 of the family's 1533-position model. The record is from RNAcentral.
CCUACGGGUGGCAGCAGUGAGGAAUAUUGGUCAAUGGGCGCGAGCCUGAACCAGCCAAGUCGCGUGAGGGAUGACGGUCCUAUGGAUUGUAAACCUCUUUUGUCGGGGAGCAAAAGACGCCACGUGUGCCGUUUUGCGUGUACCUUAAGCAUAAGCAUCGGCUAACUCCGUGCCAGCAGCCGCGGUAAUCCGGGGGAUGCGAGCUUUAUCCGGAUUUAUUGGGUUUAAAGGGUGCGCAGGCGGGAUGUAAAGUCAGCGGUAAACUUUGGGGGCUCAACCCCAGCGAGCAGUUGAGACUGGUAGUCUUGAGUACGCGAGAAGUAUGCGGAAUGCGUGGUGUAGCGGUGAAAUGCAUAGAUAUCACGCAGAACUCCGAGUGCGAAGGCAGCAUACCGGCGCUCAACUGACGCUGAUGCACGAAAGUGUGGGUAUCGAACAGGAUUAGAUACCCGGGUAGUC